Molecule: long non-coding RNA, 276 nt
Filed under: Pectinophora gossypiella (pink bollworm)
Lineage: Eukaryota; Metazoa; Arthropoda; Insecta; Lepidoptera; Gelechiidae
Description: uncharacterized LOC126381002
Source: RNAcentral
AUUACACCCCCAUACACAGUUUUUACCCACGAGACAUUUUCUGGAAAAACAAAAUUUUGUAUGGCGGCCAUCUUGUUUUUCCGCCAUUUUGAUUUUUUUUCACCCACAAUAGAAUUUGACCAAGAUUUAAAUAGGUUUUGUGAAAAAAGAAUCGUUCCAGGUGCGAUAGUUUCGCCAGACUGUUGGGUGUCUCCCUGAUGCGGAGCAGUUUUCCAAGAUCUGGAAGUUUUCCCAUACUCACCGGGAGGUCCCGAUCACACCCCCCAUACAUCAUUU